ACGGGGUGCAGCAGGCGCGAAAACUUUGCAAUAAGCGCAAGCUUGACAGGGCUAUCCCGAGUGCCAUCCGCUGAGGAAGGCUUUUACCCAGUCUAGAACGCUGGGGGAAUAAGGAGAGGGCAAGUCUGGCGUCAGCCGCCGCGGUAAUACCAGCUCUCCGAGUGGUGUGGAUGUUUAUUGGGCCUAAAGCAUCCGUAGCUGGCUAGGUCAGUCCCUUGUUAAAUCCACCGAAUUAAUCGUUGGAUUGCGGGGGAUACUGCUUGGCUAGGGGACGAGAGAGGCAGACGGUAUUUUCGGGGUAGGGGUGAAAUCCUAUAAUCCCGGGAAGACCACCAGUGGCGAAGGCUGUCUGCUAGAACGCGCCCGACGGUGAGGGAUGAAAGCUGGGGGAGCGAACCGGAUUAGAUACCCGGGUAGUCCCAGCUGUAAACGAUGCAGACUAUGUGUUUGGACGGCCACGUGCCGUUCUAGUGCCGCAGGGAAGCUGUUAAGUCUGCCGCCUGGGGAGUACGAUCGCAAGAUUGAAACUUAAAGGAAUUGGCGGGGGAGCAC
Molecule: ribosomal RNA, 552 nt
Filed under: uncultured archaeon
Lineage: Archaea
Description: bacterial SSU rRNA
Rfam family: Archaeal small subunit ribosomal RNA
Source: RNAcentral